CAGUCGAGCGAAGCGAUUUAAAUGAGACUUCGGUGGAUUUUAAAUUGACUGAUCGGCGGACGGGUGAGUAACGCGUGGAUAACCUGCCUCACACAGGGGGAUAACAGUUAGAAAUGACUGCUAAUACCGCAUAAGCGCACGGUACCGCAUGGUACAGUGUGAAAAACUCCGGUGGUGUGAGAUGGAUCCGCGUCUGAUUAGGUAGUUGGUGAGGUAACGGCCCACCAAGCCGACGAUCAGUAGCCGACCUGAGAGGGUGACCGGCCACAUUGGGACUGAGACACGGCCCAAACUCCUACGGGAGGCAGCAGUGGGGAAUAUUGCACAAUGGGCGAAAGCCUGAUGCAGCAACGCCGCGUGAGUGAAGAAGUAUCUCGGUAUGUAAAGCUCUAUCAGCAGGGAAGAAAAUGACGGUACCUGACUAAGAAGCCCCGGCUAACUACGUGCCAGCAGCCGCGGUAAUACGUAGGGGGCAAGCGUUAUCCGGAUUUACUGGGUGUAAAGGGAGCGCAGACGGCACUGCAAGUCUGAAGUGAAAGCCCGGGGCUCAACCCCGGGACUGCUUUGGAAACUGUAGAGCUAGAGUGCUGGAGAGGCAAGCGGAAUUCCUAGUGUAGCGGUGAAAUGCGUAGAUAUUAGGAAGAACACCAGUGGCGAAGGCGGCUUGCUGGACAGUAACUGACGUUCAGGCUCGAAAGCGUGGGGAGCAAACAGGAUUAGAUACCCUGGUAGUCCACGCC
Molecule: ribosomal RNA, 740 nt
Filed under: uncultured bacterium
Lineage: Bacteria
Description: bacterial SSU rRNA
Rfam family: Bacterial small subunit ribosomal RNA
Source: RNAcentral